RNAcentral lists this ribosomal RNA (450 nucleotides) under uncultured bacterium. Its description in RNAcentral is "partial 16S ribosomal RNA". It matches the Rfam family "Bacterial small subunit ribosomal RNA", at positions 338 to 795 of the family's 1533-position model. The record is from RNAcentral.
CCUACGGGGGGCAGCAGUAGGGAAUAUUGGACAAUGGGUGCGAGCCUGAUCCAGCCAUGCCGCGUGCAGGAAGAAGGCGUUAUGCGUUGUAAACUGCUUUUGCCAGGGGAUAAAAUAACUGUGCGCAGUUGAUUGAAGGUACCUGGUGAAUAAGCCACGGCUAACUACGUGCCAGCAGCCGCGGUAAUACGUAGGUGGCAAGGGUUGUCUGGGUUUAUUGGGUUUAAAGGGUGCCUAGUCGGCCAGGUGUGAAAUAUCUCAGCUUAACUGAGAGGGUGCCAUUGAUACUGCGGGGCUUGAGUACAGAUGAGGUAGGCGGAAUUGACGGUGUAGCGGUGAAAUGCAUAGAUAUCGUCAAGAACACCGAUAGCGAAGGCAGCUUACCAAGCUGUAACUGACGCUGAGGCACGAAAGUGUGGGGAUCAAACAGGAUUAGAUACCCUUGUAGUC